RNAcentral lists this ribosomal RNA (406 nucleotides) under uncultured bacterium. RNAcentral's name for it is "partial 16S ribosomal RNA". It matches the Rfam family "Bacterial small subunit ribosomal RNA", at positions 30 to 526 of the family's 1533-position model. The record is from RNAcentral.
AUUGAACGCUGGCGGCAGGCCUAACACAUGCAAGUCGAACGAGUGGCGGACGGGUGAGUAAUGUCUGGGAAACUGCCUGAUGGAGGGGGAAAACUCGUGGAAACGGUAGCAAAUACCGCAUAACAUCAGAUGUGACCAGAUGGGAGUAGCUUGUUGGUGGGGUAACGGCUCACCAAGGCGACGAUCCCUCUCGGGUCUGAGAGGAUGACCAGCCACACUGGAACUGAGACACGGUCCAGACUCCUACGGGAGGCAGCAGUGGGGAAUAUUGCACAAUGGGCGAAAGCCUGAUGCAGCCAUGCCGCGUGUGUGAAGAAGGCCUUCGGGUUGUAAAGUACUGUCAUCGGGGAGGCGUUACCCGAAGAAGAAGCCCCGGCUAACUACGUGCCAGCAGCCGCGGUAAUUC